Jaculus jaculus (lesser Egyptian jerboa) is the source of this 1674-nucleotide long non-coding RNA. RefSeq lists it as uncharacterized. The transcript has 4 exons. Lineage: Eukaryota; Metazoa; Chordata; Mammalia; Rodentia; Dipodidae. The record is from RefSeq and is a predicted model, not a curated record.
CUCUCGCUCCCUGGGCGAGCUGGGCAGAGACCACAGUCCCUGGAAAAAGGCCAUGUUGGGUUCCCAUGGCUUUCUGCGUCUGGCCUUGGAGAGAAAGAGUAAAGGCACAAGAGCCGGGAAGGGAGGAGAAGGCUCUAGAAGACAAGCAGUGCACAGACGCUGAGUGCGGACAUUUCAAGGCUUGGAUCCUCAUGAAGGCCCCUUGGUGAACACAGGACAACAAGCAAAAUGAGGCAAAGUACCCUAAUUCUGGCUUAGUGGGGUCGUUAGGCAAGUCUUCCCUUGCCAAGGAAAUAAACCCAGAGCUCAAUCAUCAGUCAACUUUUUGGAUCCAAGAAACUUAUCUCCCCAGAGAAACGGGGUUGUGAUGCCCGUGACAUUCUUCGCUUAGUACACGUUAACGGCUUACCGAGCAGCGUCUCACCACUCCUUAGCCCCUGGGGCCAACUGGAAACAGGCGGCUCCACCUCAGAGAGGCGGCAGAAACGUGACUCCCAGUCAUUCAGAGUGAACCGCAGGACUCUUCCCAACACCCCCUUCCUGCGACAGGAUGGAGCAGGUCGGCGUGAGGAGACAAGCUGGGCACGGCGUGGCAGGUGAGUAGGCACCUGUGACCAGAGGUGCGGCGGGCAGAGCAGUAAGCAGCGUGAGCGCAGGAGCAGCACGGCGUGCCCCAGGCAGUGGCAAUGGCACGGGCAGAGGGGCACACGGGGCUCCCGAAGCGACUCUAGGGAAUUCCCUGACGGGCAGCAGUUGGCAAAACCAACAGAAAUGAUACGUGGGACUGGAGUCACUGUAACAUCUCUUCUAAGAGAAACUGAAAAGUCAAGAAGAUUCACUGGGACUACAAAACGACUUGAUGGUCAGGCCUGGAAGCCGAUGAACCAGGCGCGACCCUGUCACGGAACUCAAGAUAUGCUGUGUAAAGUGCAGGAUGGUUCAGUUUGGCCCUGGGCAGGCCUGUUGGAGAACCUGCCUACAGAUGGAGCAGAAUCCUGGGGAACCAGGACCCACCAACACCUCCAGAAGAGAAAGCCAACUGUCUAGCAGGAGAUGGGUCACCUCCACCUCAUCUGCUGGCCCAGACGUCAUCACAGAGGGAGCGGUGACGCGAACACUGCUCUCAGGCGAGCCUGAAGACCAGCCCAGGGAAAUGGCGACAGACACUGUGGUCACUCAAGCCUCAUAAAAACAGGAGAUCCAGAGGCUAUAGAGAAAGCAACACUAAAUCAGAGCCUCAUUCUUGCCCACCAAGGCUCAGGAACCAUUGCGGAAGAGGGGGAGAAAGAUUCCAAGAGCCUGGGCUGUGGGGGAAGAGCCUUGAGGGUCCGCUUCCCCAACCUGUAGAGACUGACUGAGGCCUCUCGGUCUCCACAAUGAAUACCAAUAAUCCCACCAAAGAAGACCCUCAGCAGAACUGGGGAGGGGGAAAAUCAAUAAUAAUAACAGAUGAUCCAGUUUGUGAAGGUAAUAUGUGAAUUUUCCCCCUGAAACUUUAUCAGAUUAAUUCAGUUUCACAGAAGGGAUAAUUAAUACUGAAAUAGAUCUAAAAAUAAUUUAAGCGACAUCAAAUGUAUCUAGGCCACGUUGGUUUGUGCAUAUUUACGAACACUUAUGUUAGCUUAAAUACACAGGAGGUGCUUGAUGAAAGAUGAAUGAACAGUAAACUUAAUU